This is a non-coding RNA of Paramuricea clavata, 236 nucleotides long. The record is from the annotation of a GenBank genome assembly. NCBI's taxonomy places the organism in Eukaryota, Metazoa, Cnidaria, Anthozoa, Malacalcyonacea, Plexauridae.
UUCCGGUCUCCCGACCCUACCUAGCUUUUGGCCGUCGAAAUCCCGACCCUAAACUUUUUUAUUGGAUCAUGCUUGUAAGUGUUUCCACUAAGAGGAAAAAGUUUGUGGAAAAUUGAAAUUUGAGGCAAUAUUAAGGAAAUUUAUCUUUGGAUGUGGAAGCACUGACUAAACAAAAUGGCGUCCGGUUGUUAGGAAAAUUAAAAAAAAGUUAAAAAAAAAAGUUAAAACCGACCAAC